This is a non-coding RNA of Pelobates cultripes (western spadefoot toad), 415 nucleotides long. The record is from the annotation of a GenBank genome assembly. NCBI's taxonomy places the organism in Eukaryota, Metazoa, Chordata, Amphibia, Anura, Pelobatidae.
UCUCCAGAAUAUCUCCAACUACACACUUAGAAACAGCACUUAGAAGUAGCACCAAGCUAUAUUACACAAGCUAAUGAGACCAAGCCUUAUAUAACUCCUUAAAUCACCGCCCACUAGGAAUGUUUAACACCUGGGUAGGCCUCUGCUUAUUUGCAAACAAUAGCUAAUUAACCAGCAAUCAACAGCAAGUAACUAGCUUAAUCAAAUCAAAUGCCUUAUAAUUACCAACAGGAAUUCAAACCUUGGGCAAUCAGUAACCUUUUCCUACAGAUGAAUCUUACCUGUAACAGUAGAAAAGAAAGCUCUUAGCACAACUCUUAGACAGUUGAAGCUUCUGUAAAACUCUCCAGAAUAUCUCCAACUACACACUUAGAAACAGCACUUAGAAGUAGCACCAAGCUAUAUUAGACAAGCU